GCGGGAAUAGCUCAAUUGGUAGAGCUUCAGCCUUCCAAGCUGAAUGUUGCGGGUUCGAGUCCCGUUUCCCGCUCAA
RNAcentral lists this transfer RNA (76 nucleotides) under Flavobacteriaceae bacterium. RNAcentral's name for it is "tRNA-Gly". It matches the Rfam family "tRNA". Rfam says of the family: Transfer RNA (tRNA) molecules are approximately 80 nucleotides in length. Their secondary structure includes four short double-helical elements and three loops (D, anti-codon, and T loops). The record is from RNAcentral. Lineage: Bacteria; Pseudomonadati; Bacteroidota; Flavobacteriia; Flavobacteriales; Flavobacteriaceae.